Molecule: unclassified non-coding RNA, 406 nt
Filed under: Ascomycota sp.
Lineage: Eukaryota; Fungi; Ascomycota
Description: partial contains small subunit ribosomal RNA, internal transcribed spacer 1, and 5.8S ribosomal RNA
Source: RNAcentral
AAAGUCGUAACAAGGUUUCCGUACGUAACAAGGUUUCCGUAGGUGAACCUGCGGAAGGAUCAUUAACACGUAUCCAACGUUAAACCCCCCGUGAACCUUCAUUGUGCUCCCCCAUUCCGUUAGGACGCGGCAAUCCCUGGUAAAUCAUCGCCGAACAGUUUUGAUUCAGGGACCAUGGAGUGGGCAGCAGCGCGAGGCAAGUGGCCUGGCAUUCCUCUGCUUGUUGGUGUCUGAAAGUGUCACUAGCUCUGUAAGAAUGGCGCAGUAACGAUCGCUAGAGGCCGACACGGCCGGCGACCGGGUCACCGGGCUCACGCCCCCUAAUCCUUUGCAUGAAAACGGGCCUGCGCUUAAUUGUGCGGCCACCAAACUCGAACAACUGUUAACAAUGGAUAUCUUGGUUCUC